RNAcentral lists this small nuclear RNA (162 nucleotides) under Meriones unguiculatus (Mongolian gerbil). Its description in RNAcentral is "U1 spliceosomal RNA (ENSMUGG00000022879.1)". It matches the Rfam family "U1 spliceosomal RNA". From Rfam's summary of the family: U1 is a small nuclear RNA (snRNA) component of the spliceosome (involved in pre-mRNA splicing). Its 5' end forms complementary base pairs with the 5' splice junction, thus defining the 5' donor site of an intron. The record is from RNAcentral. Lineage: Eukaryota; Metazoa; Chordata; Mammalia; Rodentia; Muridae.
AAAGUUUACUGGCAGCAGAGAUACCAUAAUAUGGAAGGUAUUUUUCCCAAGGCAAGAUUUAGCCAUAGCACCUAGCAAGAACUGACCUCUGCAAUUUCUGAAAAUUUGGAAAACUUGAUUGAAUAAGUUAUGGUAAUGAAAGACUAUUCAUAUGAGCUCUCC